UACGUAGGGUGCAAGCGUUAAUCGGAAUUACUGGGCGUAAAGCGUGCGCAGGCGGUUUUGUAAGCCAGAUGUGAAAGCCCCGGGCUUAACCUGGGAACUGCAUUGGUGACUGGCAGGCUUUGAGUGUGGCAGAGGGAGGUAGAAUUCCACGUGUAGCAGUGAAAUGCGUAGAGAUGUGGAGGAAUACCGAUGGCGAAGGCAGCCUCCUGGGCCAACACUGACGCUCAUGCACGAAAGCGUGGGGAGCAAACAGG
RNAcentral lists this ribosomal RNA (254 nucleotides) under uncultured bacterium. RNAcentral's name for it is "partial 16S ribosomal RNA". It matches the Rfam family "Bacterial small subunit ribosomal RNA", at positions 524 to 776 of the family's 1533-position model. The record is from RNAcentral.